UACGGAGGGGGCUAGCGUUGUUCGGAAUUACUGGGCGUAAAGCGCACGUAGGCGGCUUUUGUAAGUUAGAGGUGAAAGCCCGGGGCUCAACUCCGGAAUUGCCUUUUAAGACUGCAUCGCUAGAAUUGUGGAGAGGUAAGUGGAAUUCCGAGUGUAGAGGUGAAAUUCGUAGAUAUUCGGAAGAACACCAGUGGCGAAGGCGACUUACUGGACACAUAUUGACGCUGAGGUGCGAAAGCGUGGGGAGCAAACAGG
RNAcentral lists this ribosomal RNA (255 nucleotides) under uncultured bacterium. Its description in RNAcentral is "partial 16S ribosomal RNA". It matches the Rfam family "Bacterial small subunit ribosomal RNA", at positions 524 to 776 of the family's 1533-position model. The record is from RNAcentral.